CCUACGGGGGGCAGCAGUGAGGAAUAUUGGUCAAUGGCCGGAACGCUGAACCAGCCAAGCCGCGUGAGUGACGAAGGUGCCAAGCAUUUUAAACUUCUUUUGUCAAGGGACAAAAUCAGGCUCGAGAGCCUGACCGAGGGUACUUGAAGAAACAGCAUCGGCUAACUCCGGGCCAGGGGCCGCGGUAAUACGGAGUAUGCGGGCGUUAUCCGGCUUUAUUGGGUUAAAGGGGUGCGUAGUCGGACGGUUAAGUCAGCGGUAAAAGCCCGGGGUUCAACCCCGGCGAGCCGUUGAAACUGGGUGGCUUGAGAUGUCGAGAGGUAUGCGGAAUGCGCAGUGUAGCGGUGAAAUGCGUAGAUAUUGCGCAGAACUCCGAUUGCGAAGGCAGCAUACCGGCGGCGAUCUGACGCUGAGGCACGAAAGCGUGGGUAUCGAACAGGAUUAGAUACCCCGGUAGUC
Molecule: ribosomal RNA, 459 nt
Filed under: uncultured bacterium
Lineage: Bacteria
Description: partial 16S ribosomal RNA
Rfam family: Bacterial small subunit ribosomal RNA
Source: RNAcentral